GUUCCUUUUGCACACACCAAAAUGGCUAGCUCUUCAGGCAAGCCAUUAUGGGCUAAUAGCAUUAUUUUCUGGGCAUAGUUAUGCCUGAAAGGCAAGUGAAUCUGCCACCUAACUGACUGAAGAGCUCCAAAUGUGGAAAUCCAGUGUAGAAGUUGGACACAGAGAAUG
Molecule: long non-coding RNA, 168 nt
Organism: Fukomys damarensis (Damara mole-rat)
Lineage: Eukaryota; Metazoa; Chordata; Mammalia; Rodentia; Bathyergidae
Exons: 3
Source: RefSeq, a predicted model, not a curated record